UGUUCCUUCACACGACGCGAACGUUCCACUGUAAAGUUGGCAACUCGUAUCGAUUACGCGUCGAUUUUAAGGAAAAUUCACUUCGAUCGAUUUCUCGAUAGUCGGCUCGAAAGGUCCGAACUCGAGACGACAGAAACGCGGAGAAUCGUCGAAAAUGAAUGAAGUAGAGCGUUGGUAUCGUCCCCGGUAAGCCGGGACCGGCGCUCGCGUGGAAAUCAAGAGUAACACUGACUCGAUCGUCGAGUUGUGAAGCGAUAGGUGGACCGUACGUGCGAGUUGGUCCUCCCGCAUGCGAAACGUGGCAAGUUCGGGGUGCGUAUGCGGUUGCAAUGUGUAUGCCGGUCGCUAUGAAGCCGCUAAUAUAAACAAUGAAAAGAACGUCAAUAGCUACAAUGUGUUCAAUAUUUUCGAUAAAUAUGGUAUCUUUGCUUUUUCUUUCGACGAAAUGUGCAACUUUGUUAUUAAGAAUAUCUCGUUUCGGUUUAACAACACCGCUCGAGAACUUCAAACCGUUUAUAAUUUCACCAAUAUCGUCCUCUUUAUGUUGACACUUUCUGGAUAAAACGAUAUUAUCGAAAAAAGUAUUCUCGAUAUUCCAAUCGAGAACGAUGGCGACGGAAUUUUGCGCAGGGUCGAUGAUAAAUUUUGACGUAGUGUCAGAAAAGUUGGAACGACGCAUGGCCAUACGGAACACCGUGAGGGCCGAUGAUCGCUGCAGACUGCUCUGUCCGAGAGCAGCGAGGCUUCUCCGCAACGGCGAAACCGUGUACGCUGGUGCUGCUGUCGGUUGCUUCUCCACCACGGCACGAGUACCGUGCUGUCGAGGCUCCUCACCACCACGUAGAACCCUAAAUCCUGCGUAACGCACGCCCCCACUCUCCCUGAAACGUUUCCCCACCAACAUGCUUCUAUCCAACAUCCCCGUUGCCGAAGAUCGACCGUCACGCAACCAAUUCCUGUAUUUUAGAAAAGUUGCUUGUGCGCUUCGUUUCAGUCGUGAAUGAACUUACUCUUCAAUCUGCUCUCCUAUAAUCUUUGUAAAGCUAUUGAAUCAUCCUAUAUAAAUAUAUUUUUGUAUUUAACACUUCAUCGAAGUAAUUACACAUUGAUUUAUCAUUUGAUGCAUUUACGAAUCCAAAAUUGAAAGUAUUUGACAAAUCAUCGUGAUUUUGCGGCCACCUCUUCAAUUGGAUGUAAUCAAUAUUUUACUAUUGGAAACACACUUCAUCGAUCGAGCGUAACAACAUGUCCUUUGCACGGAGCCAGAGUUCGACGGGUUCUGUUCGAGAUGCACCUGGAAUGAUGCAUAACGCGGGGUCCAUGCAUAAAACAUCCCCACUUCUCGGUUCCAUGACGACGUCAGACCAAUCUCCGGCCACGCGAACAGGCUUAAACUACUUAUUUCUUCGCAAGCUGCUUAUCUCAAUCUUGGAACCGAUCGCGAGGUUCGAUGCACCAGGCGCGGAGAUACUGGUCGCACUACACAGGGCGCCGCUCUAAAAAUAGCAGGAAAAAAAUUUUAACGCGGAGUCACGCGAAUUACCGGAUUCCUUUUAAUUCCGCAGAUAUUAACACCGCCUUGGUUUUUUCAGAAUAUUAUUUUCGUUUCGGGAAACGUUUUAAAAACAUAUGUUAGAUUUAAAAGUGUGGCUUUAAGCCCGCAUGUACAAUCAUGUUUGAAAAUUAUUAAAAGAAGAAGAAACUUAAU
RNAcentral lists this long non-coding RNA (1708 nucleotides) under Apis florea (little honeybee). RNAcentral describes it as "uncharacterized LOC116414404". Lineage: Eukaryota; Metazoa; Arthropoda; Insecta; Hymenoptera; Apidae. The record is from RNAcentral.